CAAGGAGUUCGACGUGCGCGCGAGUCUGAGGGCUGGCGAAACCCCGAGGCGCAGCGAAAGCGAGAGAUCGCCUUAGCUACCGCGAUCCCCCCUCUUCGGCGGGGGGCGCAGCGGUGCCCGGUCCUCCUCCCCCUGGAGAGGGCCGCGGUACGAGCGCGUGCGUCGAGACCCGAAAGAUGGUGAACUAUGCCCGGAGAGGACGAAGGCCUGGAGAAAUCCAGGUGGAGGUUCGCCGCGUCUCUGACGUGCAAAUCGACCGUCUCAUCCGGGUAUAGGGGCGAUAGACCUAUCGAACCGUCUGGUAGCUGGUUCCCUCCGAAGUUUCCCUCAGGAUAGCUGGCGUCGUCGUGCAUUCGGGAGCGGUCGAGAGAAUGAUUAGAGUGUCAUCGGGGGAAUACGUCUUCCCUCGUCCUAUUUUCAAACUGCGACCGUUCCCAGCGCGGGACCGAGGGCGGGGACGGGGCGUCUCCGGAAGCGGCG
RNAcentral lists this ribosomal RNA (480 nucleotides) under Clitaetra irenae. Its description in RNAcentral is "eukaryotic LSU rRNA". It matches the Rfam family "Eukaryotic large subunit ribosomal RNA", at positions 667 to 1106 of the family's 3401-position model. The record is from RNAcentral. Lineage: Eukaryota; Metazoa; Arthropoda; Arachnida; Araneae; Nephilidae.